GCAGAUGUUGCACUCGGUGCCGGUGGUUGACAGCACCGCAACUUCCCGCCCACAAACACUCACGUCGCGACGGCGCAGCUUCAGCCGAAUGAAUCUGGACAGUGAGCCAAAAAAAAA
This is a long non-coding RNA of Culex quinquefasciatus (southern house mosquito), 117 nucleotides long. RefSeq lists it as uncharacterized. Lineage: Eukaryota; Metazoa; Arthropoda; Insecta; Diptera; Culicidae. The record is from RefSeq and is a predicted model, not a curated record. The transcript is spliced from 2 exons.